Molecule: ribosomal RNA, 499 nt
Filed under: uncultured bacterium
Lineage: Bacteria
Description: bacterial SSU rRNA
Rfam family: Bacterial small subunit ribosomal RNA
Source: RNAcentral
AGAGUUUGAUUAUGGCUCAGAACGAACGCUGGUGCGUGCUUAUACAUGCAAGUCGAGCGAGGCAGCAAUGCCUAGCGGCGAACGGGUGAGUAACGCGUAAGCAAUCUGCCCCAUAUCAGGAAUACCCGUGCCAACGCGCGGUUAAUGUCCAGGAGCGUGGCUUCCCGCAUGGGAGGUUGACAAGAGAUUUUAUCGGUAUGGGAUGAGCUUGCGUCCGAUUAGCUAGUUGGCGGGGCAACGGCCCACCAAGGCGACGAUCGGUAGCCGGCCUGAGAGGGUGAUCGGCCACAUUGGGACUGAGAUACGGCCCAGACUCCUACGGGAGGCAGCAGUAGGGAAUAUUGCACAAAUGGGGGAAACCCUGAUGCAGCAACGCCAACCGUGUGGGAAGAAGCAUUUCGGUGUGUAAACCACUUGUCGUGAGGGAAUAAACUCGCUUUACGGAGCGACUGAAUGUACCUCGAAAGGAAGCACCGGCAAACUUCGUGCCAGCCGCCGC